Molecule: ribosomal RNA, 726 nt
Filed under: Triticum aestivum (bread wheat)
Lineage: Eukaryota; Viridiplantae; Streptophyta; Magnoliopsida; Poales; Poaceae
Description: partial small subunit ribosomal RNA
Source: RNAcentral
AUGAUUAAGUCAAUUAAUACAUCAGAUGAGUGGUACUACAUAGGAUGCCGCAAAUGCAACAAAAAGGUACAGAAACAAGGGAACCACUUCUACUAUCCGAAAUGUCAAAAAGAACCUGAAAAGAUAUGUCCAAGGUACAAACUGAAACUAGAGAUAUGUGAUCUCAGUGCAACAACAACUUGCACCAUGUUUGAGGCAGAAGCAAAAAAAUUGAUUAAGCAAUCUGCAAGUUUUUUGAUAGAGAGGGAUGAUUGUGAUAUCCAUGAACAGACAAAACAAAUCCAGAAAAUAUGUGGGCAGAGAUUGAUUUUUCAAUUCAGAUUGAAUGACUAUAAUUUGAAGUACGGUUAUCAAGAAUACACUGUUCAUAGAAUCUUUUUCAUAGAUUCUGAAAAAGAUACAUCAGUACAUCAUUCAAAUAUUGAGCAGGAGCAAGCGGACAAGUUAUCAGUUAUGAAAACUAUAAAGCAAGAACCAGAGGAUGAUGAACCCACUAUUAACCGGACUAAAAGGGGCCCCAAGAGGAAACGCGCCGUAACUCGCAAAUGUGCUGGUAUUGAUAGCAAACAAGUAAACAAUCACCAUGAAGAAGAAUCAAAACAGGCAGGUACUCAGGAGCACAAUGAUUCAAGGCCUAGGACAAGGCGUAGUUGUGCCAAUAAAGAAUUGAUGAACAAAGACAUUCAGAAGUGUGGUGUAUCAAGAACUCAAAAGUCAAAUCGUUGA